This 73-nucleotide transfer RNA is filed under the name Bos taurus (domestic cattle). It matches the Rfam family "tRNA". Rfam says of the family: Transfer RNA (tRNA) molecules are approximately 80 nucleotides in length. Their secondary structure includes four short double-helical elements and three loops (D, anti-codon, and T loops). Further hydrogen bonds mediate the characteristic L-shaped molecular structure. tRNAs have two regions of fundamental functional importance: the anti-codon, which is responsible for specific mRNA codon recognition, and the 3' end, to which the tRNAs corresponding amino acid is attached (by aminoacyl-tRNA synthetases). tRNAs cope with the degeneracy of the genetic code in two manners: having more than one tRNA (with a specific anti-codon) for a particular amino acid; and 'wobble' base-pairing, i.e. permitting non-standard base-pairing at the 3rd anti-codon position. Lineage: Eukaryota; Metazoa; Chordata; Mammalia; Artiodactyla; Bovidae. The record is from Rfam by way of RNAcentral. RNAcentral also lists the same sequence under 5 other names.
UCCCUGGUGGUCCAGCGGUUAGGACUCCGCCUUUUCACUGCCAAGGACGCAGGUUCAAUCCUUGGCCAGGGAA